GUUGUCUUAGUUUAUCUGGUAAAAACACUACAAUGUAAUGUAGAAAAUAAGGUUCGAAACCUUAGGACGAUC
Molecule: transfer RNA, 72 nt
Filed under: Pyrenophora teres f. teres 0-1
Lineage: Eukaryota; Fungi; Ascomycota; Dothideomycetes; Pleosporales; Pleosporaceae
Rfam family: tRNA
About the family: Transfer RNA (tRNA) molecules are approximately 80 nucleotides in length. Their secondary structure includes four short double-helical elements and three loops (D, anti-codon, and T loops).
Source: Rfam by way of RNAcentral